UAGGAUUCAAUUAGCUUGAGAAAAACGUUCACUCAUGCUUAUGUGAAGCUUGGGUAAGGUUGAAAAUAAAUAAUUGGAGCUUGAAAUUGUGAAUACUGGAACUUGGAGGAAGCGGAUUAGUUGAGGUUUUGAGGGCUGUGUUCUUUUAGGAAAAUUUUCUUGGAAUAACACUUGGGAAUCGGCUAAGAUGCAGGUCGAGAGGCAUCUCGUUAGGCGUCUGGACUCUUGAAGAGGAGUGGUUACAGGUGUACUUU
Arachis duranensis is the source of this 254-nucleotide long non-coding RNA. RefSeq lists it as uncharacterized. The transcript is spliced from 3 exons. NCBI's taxonomy places the organism in Eukaryota, Viridiplantae, Streptophyta, Magnoliopsida, Fabales, Fabaceae. The record is from RefSeq and is a predicted model, not a curated record.